This is a long non-coding RNA of Folsomia candida, 1575 nucleotides long. RefSeq lists it as uncharacterized. Lineage: Eukaryota; Metazoa; Arthropoda; Collembola; Entomobryomorpha; Isotomidae. The record is from RefSeq and is a predicted model, not a curated record. The transcript has 3 exons.
CUGGAUCACUGUUGUAAAAUAGUUUACGCAAAUACUUAGGACAAUAUUCCACAACUUUUGAUUCACGACAUGUCUCUGGUAACUACAUUUUACUUGAGCGUACUUAUCGGUUGCAUUUUCUUCAUCUGGCCUUCGGAUGCAGGUUGUUCUACCGUCUGCUACCCAAUGAUGGCAUGUGAUGACGUUUAUAACAACGUGAAUUGCCGUAUCCAGCAAAAUUGUAUGCAAAAGUGCUCCCCGGACUAUAAUUACACUUAAAUCGAGAAUGAAGAAAUUACUAUAAAAUUGUAAAAGAGUAGCAAUAAUGUAUAGUAAUGUAAUAAGCAAACGCGAUGACUGACUGGGGUGAAAUGAAAUAAAGUGAAGUAAUAUGGCUGGCGAUAUAAAUACUUAAAUAUAAAGAGAAUUAACUUAUGAAUUCAAGUUUAGUAACCCGUCUAUAUAUAUGGGUGGGUUUGGGGUACGUUAACCCGUCCGGGGUAAUGUGCUAUCCCAGCGCCAAGUUCAACUGGUAACACACCACCACACACAUAACUAUCCAAUUUUGAGUAUUGAUAACUCGUUGAAGCUACUUCUGUAUGUGCGUUUGAUCCGAUUAGUUAGCUUACGAUUAGCAUGUAAAUUAUUUGGGAUCUUUUUUAAUUUUGCACCUAAGUAAUCUUCGCUACAAACUGAUUUUCUUCCGUUAGCGACAAAAAACUUUCAUUUAAUAAACAUUAAAAAACAUGAUUUGUGAAAUUUCGAGAAUCAGAUCAACUCUCGACCGUCGGGAGACGGGCUUACCCGCUAGUAAGUAUUCUUGUAGAGGUGCAACCAAUCCUUGUUUAAGGAUUGGUUGCACGUAUAAAUACACAUAAUACCCAUUGCACUUAAUAACACAGAUGUAUAUAUUUAAUAAAUAGAUACAUCUGUAAUUAAAAAUUAUGUACAGAUACCAUAAAAGGUUAUACCGCAUCAGUUAUAAGUUCGUCGAUCUGGAAUUACUAAUUGGGAACUGGAACGUGCAAAAUAAUAAAAUUUCCAUCAUGUCACGAUUGUCACGCGACACUGGAAUUUCACAAUCACUCACUCAUGUCACUCAAGUGUACUCAAGUUAUCACAGAUUUAAUUACGAUUCCCUGUUUUCUUUAUCAAAUUGGUAAAUAAUUGUGAACUUUAAUCUUACAUUAUACGAUGGGUGUAGCUACAUACGUAAGUACUUGAACGUGGCCCAAUAUAAAGGAUUCUCGAUCGCACGACAACGUACAUAAUUAGCAGAUUGAAUUUGCUUUAACCGUUUCAAAAUGAUGUCGGUAAAAACCCAGGUAUUUCUGGCAGCAAUAAUUUGCUCCAUUUUGUCGGCCACGUUAACCAACGCGGCAUCCAUGUCGAUUGAAGUGGAUGAGACGGUAGGAGCCAAGGAAGUCCAGCGAUCCUGCGGUCCAGGAAUUGUACAAUGUGUUCCAUUCACUAAUGUGUCGCAUUGCUGUGAUUUAUGUACUUAUUCGAUAUUUGGUUUCAUUUGCGCGUACAACCAGUAAUGUAAUCUGGGUUAAAAUUUAUGUGAUGAAUAAAGUGUAAAUUGUAAAUAUCCGA